This is a small nucleolar RNA of Eucalyptus grandis, 107 nucleotides long. Lineage: Eukaryota; Viridiplantae; Streptophyta; Magnoliopsida; Myrtales; Myrtaceae. The record is from RefSeq and is a predicted model, not a curated record.
UGUCCAUGAUGCCGGCAUCUCCUAAACAACUCCUUAAAUCUCUCCCAUGCUUCAUAAAAUAGCUCACCAUCUAUUUGCAUAAAUGAAGUAAUAUCAUUACUUAGAAA